This 74-nucleotide transfer RNA is filed under the name Peptostreptococcaceae bacterium pGA-8. Its description in RNAcentral is "tRNA_Gly_TCC". It matches the Rfam family "tRNA". Rfam says of the family: Transfer RNA (tRNA) molecules are approximately 80 nucleotides in length. Their secondary structure includes four short double-helical elements and three loops (D, anti-codon, and T loops). RNAcentral also lists the same sequence under 2 other names. Lineage: Bacteria; Bacillati; Bacillota; Clostridia; Peptostreptococcales; Peptostreptococcaceae. The record is from RNAcentral.
GCGGAUGUCGUAUAAUGGUAAUACCUCAGCCUUCCAAGCUGAUGCCGCGGGUUCGAUUCCCGCCAUCCGCUCCA